Molecule: ribosomal RNA, 428 nt
Filed under: uncultured Bacteroidota bacterium
Lineage: Bacteria; Pseudomonadati; Bacteroidota
Description: bacterial SSU rRNA
Rfam family: Bacterial small subunit ribosomal RNA
Source: RNAcentral
CCGGAAUUAUUGGGUUUAAAGGGUGCGUAGGCGGCUAUUUAAGUCAGCGGUGAAAUUUUGCAGCUUAACUGUAACAGUGCCGUUGAAACUGUUUAGCUAGGAUUUGGUUGCAGUGUGCGGAAUGUGUGGUGUAGCGGUGAAAUGCUUAGAUAUCACACAGAACACCAAUUGCGAAGGCAGCACACUAAGUCAAUAUUGACGCUGAGGCACGAAAGUGUGGGGAUCAAACAGGAUUAGAUACCCUGGUAGUCCACACUGUAAACGAUGAUAACUCGCUGCCGGCGAUACAUUGUCGGUGGCCAAGCGAAAGCAUUAAGUUAUCCACCUGGGGAGUACGACCGCAAGGUUGAAACUCAAAGGAAUUGACGGGGGCCCGCACAAGCGGAGGAACAUGUGGUUUAAUUCGAUGAUACGCGAGGAACCUUACC